Molecule: ribosomal RNA, 497 nt
Filed under: uncultured bacterium
Lineage: Bacteria
Description: partial 16S ribosomal RNA
Rfam family: Bacterial small subunit ribosomal RNA
Source: RNAcentral
GAUGAACGCUGGCGGCGUGCCUAAUACAUGCAAGUCGAGCGAACAGACGAGGAGCUUGCUCCUCUGACGUUAGCGGCGGACGGGUGAGUAACACGUGGAUAACCUACCUAUAAUACUGGGAUAACUUCGGGAAACCGGAGCUAAUACCGGAUAAUAUAUUGAACCGCAUGGUUCAAUAGUGAAAGACGGUUUUGCUGUCACUUAUAGAUGGAUCCGCGCCGCAUUAGCUAGUUGGUAAGGUAACGGCUUACCAAGGCAACGAUGCGUAGCCGACCUGAGAGGAUGAUCAGCCACACUGGAACUGAGACACGGUCCAGACUCCUACGGGAGGCAGCAGUAGGGAAUAUUCCACAAUGGGCGAAAGCUUGACGGAGCAACGCCGCGUGAGUGAUGAAGGUCUUCGGAUCGUAAAACUCUGUUAUUAGGGAAGAACAAAUGUGUAAGUAACUAUGCACGUCUUGACGGUACCUAAUCAGAAAGCCACGGCUAACUACGUG